AGAUACCCUGGUAGUACACGCCCUAAAGCGGUGGGUACUAGGUGUAGGGCUCGCAAGGGUUCUGUGCCGAAGCGAAAGCAUUAAGUACCCCGCCUGGGGAGUACGACCGCAAGGUUGAAACUCAAAGGAAUUGACGGGGGCCCGCACAAGCGGUGGAGCAUGUGGUUUAAUUCGACGCAACGCGAAGAACCUUACCUGGGCUUGACAUGUUAGUGGUAAGAACCCGAAAGGGCGAUGACCUGUAGCAAUACAGGAGCUAACACAGGUGCUGCAUGGCUGUCGUCAGCUCGUGCCGUGAGGUGUUGGGUUAAGUCCCGCAACGAGCGCAACCCUUAUCCUCUGUUACCCCGCAAGGGGGUCUCUGAGGAAACUGCCGGCGAUGAGCUGGAGGAAGGCGGGGAUGACGUCAAGUCAUCAUGGCCCUUAUGUCCAGGGCUACACACGUGCUACAAUGGCUGCUACAGAGGGGCGCAAGACCGCGAGGUGGAGGCAAUCCCUAAAAGCAGUCGUAGUUGGGAUCGGAGUCUGCAACUCGACUCCGUGAACGUGGAAUCGCUAGUAAUCGUGGAUCAGCACGCCACGGUGAAUACGUUCCCGGGCCUUGUACACACCGCCCGUCACACCACGAAAGCCUGUUGUACCCGAAGCAGGUGCGCUAACUCGCAAGAGAAGGCGAGCCC
RNAcentral lists this ribosomal RNA (680 nucleotides) under uncultured bacterium. RNAcentral describes it as "bacterial SSU rRNA". It matches the Rfam family "Bacterial small subunit ribosomal RNA", at positions 780 to 1455 of the family's 1533-position model. The record is from RNAcentral.